GACGACGCUGGCGGCGUGCCUAACACAUGCAAGUCGAGCGGAGUCGAUCGACGGAAGCCUUCGGGCGGAAGAUGGUUGACUUAGCGGCGGAUGGGUGAGUAACGCGUGGGCAACCUGCCUCGAAGACCGGGAUAACAGUCCGAAAGGGCUGCUAAUACCGGAUGUGGUCAAGGAUCCGCAUGGAUUUUUGAUUAAAGGGGAAACCCGUUUCGAGAUGGGCCCGCGUCCUAUCAGCUAGUUGGUGAGGUAAAAGCUCACCAAGGCGACGACGGGUAGCCGGCCUGAGAGGGUGACCGGCCACACUGGAACUGAGACACGGUCCAGACUCCUACGGGGGGCAGCAGUGGGGAAUCUUCCACAAUGGGCGAAAGCCUGAUGGAGCGACGCCGCGUGAGCGAAGAAGGCCUUCGGGUUGUAAAGCUCUGUCUGGAGGGACGAAGGAAGUGACGGUACCUCCGGAGGAAGCCACGGCUAACUACGUG
Molecule: ribosomal RNA, 482 nt
Filed under: uncultured bacterium
Lineage: Bacteria
Description: bacterial SSU rRNA
Rfam family: Bacterial small subunit ribosomal RNA
Source: RNAcentral